This 386-nucleotide ribosomal RNA is filed under the name uncultured bacterium. RNAcentral's name for it is "bacterial SSU rRNA". It matches the Rfam family "Bacterial small subunit ribosomal RNA", at positions 30 to 418 of the family's 1533-position model. The record is from RNAcentral.
AUUGAACGCUGGCGGCAUGCCUUACACAUGCAAGUCGAACGGCAGCGCGGGGCAACCUGGCGGCGAGUGGCGAACGGGUGAGUAAUAUAUCGGAACAUACCCUAGAGUGGGGAUAACGUAGCGAAAGUUACGCUAAUACCGCAUACGCACUAAGGUGGAAAGUGGGGGAUCUUUCGGACCUCAUGCUCAUGGAGUGGCCGAUAUCUGAUUAGCUAGUUGGUGAGGUAAAGGCUCACCAAGGCGACGAUCAGUAGCGGGUCUGAGAGGAUGAUCCGCCACACUGGGACUGAGACACGGCCCAGACUCCUACGGGAGGCAGCAGUGGGGAAUUUUGGACAAUGGGCGAAAGCCUGAUCCAGCCAUUCCGCGUGAGUGAAGAAGGCCUU